UAAAAAAGACUAUUGAUAUUACUACAAUAAUAUAAAAACAACAACAACUUACUACUGCUAUUAGGCUACUUCUUCUACAGUAAUAACAAUAUUAAUAAUGACAAUAACAACAACAACAAUGAUAAUUUUACAAUAUUUGUGAACAUGUAAAAAACAAUUUCCAGCCGGUUGUGUUGUGUUUAUAACUGAGGCCUCAAUCAAAAACCCUUCGGUUGAAAGAUAUAUCUUAGUUAGGAUAUUAAGAUCCACAUUAAUAGAUGCAAAUAAGAAAACAUUUUUAAUGUUAUAACUCUUCUAUUAAACAACUUAACUUGUUUCGGUUGAUGUGCGUCUAUGAAGCCGUGUGAAAACAUUAGAGAGGGACAAACAUGAAACAGGGAGCGGCUGUCUGAAUGCAGGAGCAGUAAUCCUGCAGUCGCUGUGUGCUGACUGUUUCAUUCCUCCCUGCAGAGCCGCAGGCUGGAGACGCAGCUCUGCGCUGAGACUGUAAAAAGGUGUGAAAUUAUUUUGCUGGACUCUUAAAAAUGUUACUACAGUUUGUUCUCCAGUGCAGGUUCAUUAGGGAGAAGGGUUAAAAGUAGUAGGGUGACGUUGUGGAACAGUGUCGCCACCCUCUGGUGACUUACAGGGACUGCAGGGUGGGGAGGCAGCAGUGCGCAGGCGUGUUUCCUUUCUGUUGCAAUCCGGAAAAAAUGCAGGAUUAAAGUCAGAGAAAUGACGCUCCAAAGGACGGGCCCAGCAAAGGAGCAGAGGGCGGAAGGUUCCCAGGUAGAAACAAAGGAUCGCUCCAAAUGACCGUGAGUCCUGCGCGUCCCCGUCGGGGAGAAUCCAAUAAAGCUGAUCAUUUCCGCUCGGCCUUUUGUCCAGAGCGCAGUCCCACAGAAAGAGAAGAAAAAACAAAUGGGUGCCAUUCUGGAAACGGCCUAAUUGUGUCUGGACGGCCAUAAAACCAUUAAAACUGGAAUGCCAGACAGUA
Non-coding RNA from Epinephelus lanceolatus (giant grouper), 976 nucleotides. The record is from RefSeq and is a predicted model, not a curated record. Lineage: Eukaryota; Metazoa; Chordata; Actinopteri; Perciformes; Serranidae.